Molecule: long non-coding RNA, 493 nt
Filed under: Homo sapiens (human)
Lineage: Eukaryota; Metazoa; Chordata; Mammalia; Primates; Hominidae
Description: non-protein coding lnc-PTPRU-4:2
Source: RNAcentral
GCCCUGCGCUGUGACGGGACUAGAGGAUUGAAGAAGGAGAUCCACCCGGCUAUGAGUUGGUGCCAGGAAGGCCAUUGCAGAGAAAGGCAGGCGUGGAGUGUCCUCUGCCAGAGGCUGCCUGAGCUCCAUGGAAGGAGGCCAGUGUGGCAGUGAGGUGCCUGGCUGCCCGCCCCUCCCCUCACUCCUCUAAUAACCACCAUUUCUGUCUCCACCAAUUCUGGGACACCCACCUGCAGGUUCAAGACCACUCACACUUGGGCACUGAUGGGCCUCUAUGGGGUCAUGGAAGGAGCCCUCAGGCAGUGGAAUGUCUCAGGUGACCCCUGCCAAGGGGCCAAGCCCAGCUUUUGUUGCUUAGCCUCCUCCAAGGAAAACCCUCCCUGGGAAAGUUCUGAUGAUCACCACCUCUGACCAAGCCAUACUUCCUGUAAGCACCAGAAAGAAAGUGAUUCCAGGUUCUAUUAUUGAACUUUACACUAUCGUUUCAACAAAA